UCAGAUGGCCGGAUGGCCGCUGCAUUCGUGCAGAGGAAAGUCCGGGCUCCACGGAAACACGGUGCCGGAUAACGUCCGGCGGGGGCGACCCCAGGGAAAGUGCCACAGAAAGCAAACCGC
This 120-nucleotide RNase P RNA is filed under the name Parvibaculum sp. Its description in RNAcentral is "partial RNase P RNA component class A". It matches the Rfam family "Bacterial RNase P class A", at positions 1 to 129 of the family's 367-position model. Rfam says of the family: Ribonuclease P (RNase P) is a ubiquitous endoribonuclease, found in archaea, bacteria and eukarya as well as chloroplasts and mitochondria. Its best characterised activity is the generation of mature 5'-ends of tRNAs by cleaving the 5'-leader elements of precursor-tRNAs. Lineage: Bacteria; Pseudomonadati; Pseudomonadota; Alphaproteobacteria; Hyphomicrobiales; Parvibaculaceae. The record is from RNAcentral.